RNAcentral lists this transfer RNA (64 nucleotides) under Argyra pingwuensis. RNAcentral describes it as "tRNA-Thr". It matches the Rfam family "tRNA". From Rfam's summary of the family: Transfer RNA (tRNA) molecules are approximately 80 nucleotides in length. Their secondary structure includes four short double-helical elements and three loops (D, anti-codon, and T loops). Lineage: Eukaryota; Metazoa; Arthropoda; Insecta; Diptera; Dolichopodidae. The record is from RNAcentral.
GUUUUAAUAGUUUAAUAAAAACAUUGGUCUUGUAAAUCAAAAAUAAUUUUCUUAUUUUAAAACU